UUGGUGAUGAAAAGAGAUUGAUUAUUUGGGUGACAAUUUCUGGUCAGAGCCUUAAGAUCUUUCAUGCUUUGAUAGGAUGUAAUAUUUGUUGUGGAAUGGAAUGGCUUUGUUGUAUUUCUCUGAACAAUGAUACAAUUAUAUAUACACUUGUAUGCUAAAUAAAAGGGUAAACUAACGCUAAAUAUUAGUUAAAUAAUUACAGAUG
RNAcentral lists this unclassified non-coding RNA (205 nucleotides) under Hevea brasiliensis (rubber tree). Lineage: Eukaryota; Viridiplantae; Streptophyta; Magnoliopsida; Malpighiales; Euphorbiaceae. The record is from RNAcentral.